RNAcentral lists this long non-coding RNA (330 nucleotides) under Equus caballus (horse). RNAcentral describes it as "lncRNA (ENSECAG00000050905.1)". The record is from RNAcentral. Lineage: Eukaryota; Metazoa; Chordata; Mammalia; Perissodactyla; Equidae.
CUGAACAUGACCUGCUUUGACUGCUACAAUGUAAUUCACCCAUGUCUCCAUCCCCAUCUUUGGCGUGUUCUGAAGACUCUCAUAAUGGAAUGGCACAGGGCUGCUUCUCCAUCUUUACAGGACACAGAGAAUGAUCACCACGAUAAGUUCGGUUAACACCCAUCACCUCACAUACCAAGAUCUUUUGGAAGGAAGAACAGAUAUCUUGAAUUUCUUAUUGGAAUGCUGGGCUGUUUCUUAUUUUUCCCAGGUCACAUUGGAUGGGAAUGACCAUACCUGCGAUUCCCAGUAGAAUGAUCAGACCCACCUGGAGGACAGACCACAGCCAGG